Molecule: ribosomal RNA, 477 nt
Filed under: Candidatus Scalindua brodae
Lineage: Bacteria; Pseudomonadati; Planctomycetota; Candidatus Brocadiia; Candidatus Brocadiales; Candidatus Scalinduaceae
Description: bacterial SSU rRNA
Rfam family: Bacterial small subunit ribosomal RNA
Source: RNAcentral
UUCGCAAUGCCCGAAAGGGUGACGAAGCGACGCCGCGUGGGUGAGGAAGGCCUUCGGGUUGUAAAGCCCUGUCAGGAGUUAAGAAAUGUAAGUGUGUUAAUACCACAUUUAUUUGACGAAGGCUCCAAAGGAAGUCACGGCUAACUCUGUGCCAGCAGCCGCGGUAAUACAGAGGUGGCAAGCGUUGUUCGGAAUUAUUGGGCGUAAAGGGCACGUAGGUGGGUUUGUAAGUCAGAUGUGAAAGCCUCCUGUUCAACGGGAGAAUUGCAUCUGAAACUGCGAAUCUUGAGUGUAGGAGGGGAGAAUGGAACUUCUGGUGGAGCGGUGAAAUGCGUAGAUAUCAGAAGGAACGCCGGCGGCGAAAGCGAUUCUCUGGCCUAUUACUGACACUCAGUGUGCGAAAGCUAGGGGAGCAAACGGGAUUAGAUACCCCGGUAGUCCUAGCCGUAAACGAUGGGCACUAAGUAGAGGGGUUUU